GGAAGUAGUGACGUAAUUUCAUAGAGUCAUUCGGUCUGAAUGCUACAUGAAGAACAUAAGCCAAAUGAAGGAACGGGAAGACCUAGGAUGUAGUAGAAGAUCAUAACAUGAGUGAUUCGGCAGAUUUUGAUUCCUAUAUAUCCACUCAUGCGGUACUUCAUUAUGCGAUAUAUAUAAGAUCCAUCUGUAUAGAUAUCAUCAUCUACAUCCAGAA
RNAcentral lists this long non-coding RNA (214 nucleotides) under Lupinus angustifolius (narrow-leaved blue lupine). RNAcentral's name for it is "long non-coding RNA (LANG_LNC002670)". The record is from RNAcentral. Lineage: Eukaryota; Viridiplantae; Streptophyta; Magnoliopsida; Fabales; Fabaceae.